Molecule: long non-coding RNA, 1361 nt
Filed under: Pongo abelii (Sumatran orangutan)
Lineage: Eukaryota; Metazoa; Chordata; Mammalia; Primates; Hominidae
Description: lincRNA
Source: RNAcentral
CAGAACACGUCCCCCCGACACACACCAGGACAUGGCUCAAGGCCCGGGCCUCCCACACACCCCUGGGCUUCCAGCAUGUCCUUCCCACGUCAGACACCAGACAGAGCUGGUGCAGGUGGCUUCCAGGUGGCAUGUCCCUUCGGAUGGGCUCUGCCAUCCCUGUCAUGUGCACCAGCUGCUGUGUCCACCCUUAGUGCCAGCUCUGGGGGCCUAAGCAGGAGCUCAGGGACAUGGAGACCAUGCAAAGGAGGCAUCCACUGUAGGGUGUCCCAGGGCUGGGCACCAAGGCAGGACCUCCGUGUGCCCCAAAUGCCGGCUUCCCUGGAGACUGCAGCCAGCCGGGAUCUCUCACGUCAGCCUCCCAAGACCACCGUGAGGGGGGCGCUUAGGAGCAGAAACACCCAGGCUGAGCAGGAUGAGCAGGUGAAGCUGCUCAACGCAGGGGACGGGACACAGAGGCGACUCACGAGCCUGGGGCUCCAGCAGCAGCCAGGCAGGUCCCGCCACGCCUUUCGCUCUCAGCUACCAGUCUGCCUGCCACCAUCACCUUUGCGCGUGUGCCUGGGACCCUGGCUCCCCAAGCAGCCGCUAACUCCCGGACGCCUGCUGGCCCGGCCCCGGUCAUGAGUGCAUCCGGGGAAGGCUUCGGGCCUACAGGAACGGAAGGAAAAGCCAUCCAGCCUCCCUGACCCUCCACACGGAAGCUGAUGGGUUCCCCACACACCGGCUGCCGGGGACUGCCUCGACUCUGGUUUUGGCACAGACAGGCCCUGCUGCGUCCGUCAUCUCUGAUGGAAGUGACAGCCGUUUCCCCUGCAGAAAGGCCAGAGCGGCCCAUCCACGCUCCAGGGUGUGAGGCCAGCGGUAGCGUCCCCAGGGCCACAGCCCAGCGAGGGUGAGGUGGGGGAGCGUCCUGGCUGAGGGCUGGGCCGCCUCCCGCGUGCUCUGGGGAGCAAUGCUUCCGCACCACCCCCGCCCCUUCCUGGCUGUCUGUGAAACUGAACAUCUCCAAGUAAAUAUUUUAACAGCUAAGCACAGGCAGCGCUUCGAGGCUUCAUGACGAAGAUGUGGAAUGCUUGACCCUCACCUCUCACCUCUGCAGGUCCUGGGCACAGACUUCACCUUCUGGACCUUCUCCUAUCCAGAAAGUACGCGGCCCACACGGUGGUGCAAGGAGCCCUGGGCUGGGCAGCUGCCGGCCUGGAUCCAAGUCCUGCCCUGGCGAAAGUGCUGAUUACUUUACAUACUUCUGUCUCUGCAGAACCAGGUGAUUGAUCCUCAAAGCCCGGCCAGCUCCAGCAAGCUCUGGUACCUGCAACCAUGGGCCGCCCUGUGCCCGGGCCACCUUCCUCGAACCAUGU